AGACAUGGAUGAGCUGCUCGCGUGGAUCAACAACGAAGAGAGACCCAGCACCAGCAGUCUUGCUGACGAUCUGCAAAUUGACCAUUUCCUCACCUGGAUUGAUGAAGCGGCGAGUGCUCUGGACAGCUGCAAAAGGGAAGAGCU
Meleagris gallopavo (turkey) is the source of this 144-nucleotide non-coding RNA. Lineage: Eukaryota; Metazoa; Chordata; Aves; Galliformes; Phasianidae. The record is from RefSeq and is a predicted model, not a curated record.